CCUACGGGUGGCAGCAGUGAGGAAUAUUGGUCAAUGGCCGGAAGGCUGAACCAGCCAUGCCGCGUGAAGGUCAGUGCCCUAUGGGCGUUAAACUUCUUUUGUGCGGGAGCAAUAAUGGUCACGUGUGGCCAGACGAGAGUACCGUACGAAUAAGCAUCGGCUAACUCCGUGCCAGCAGCCGCGGUAAUACGGGGGAUGCAAGCGUUAUCCGGAUUUAUUGGGUUUAAAGGGUGCGUUGGCUGUGAGGUAAGUCAGCUGUGAAAGGCCGCCGCUCAACGGGGAGAAGUGCCAUUGAUACUGCCUGGCUGGAGUGCAGAUGAGGUGGGAGGAAGGUGUGGUGUAGCGGUGAACUGCAUAGAGAUCACACAGAACACCGAUUGCGAAGGCAGCUCACGAAUCCGCGAUUGACGUUGAUGCACGAAAGCGUGGGUAUCAAACAGGAUUAGAUACCCUAGUAGUC
Molecule: ribosomal RNA, 460 nt
Filed under: uncultured bacterium
Lineage: Bacteria
Description: partial 16S ribosomal RNA
Rfam family: Bacterial small subunit ribosomal RNA
Source: RNAcentral